RNAcentral lists this transfer RNA (77 nucleotides) under Clostridium sp. RNAcentral's name for it is "tRNA-Val". It matches the Rfam family "tRNA". From Rfam's summary of the family: Transfer RNA (tRNA) molecules are approximately 80 nucleotides in length. Lineage: Bacteria; Bacillati; Bacillota; Clostridia; Eubacteriales; Clostridiaceae. The record is from RNAcentral. RNAcentral also lists the same sequence under 7 other names.
AGAGGUAUAGCUCAGUUGGUUAGAGCGCUCGCUUCACAUGCGAGAGGUCGUGGGUUCGAAUCCCUCUAUCUCUACCA